Molecule: long non-coding RNA, 503 nt
Filed under: Sorghum bicolor (sorghum)
Lineage: Eukaryota; Viridiplantae; Streptophyta; Magnoliopsida; Poales; Poaceae
Description: long non-coding RNA (SBIC_LNC000158)
Source: RNAcentral
CUUCACUUCUCCCUCCUGCAACUGCAAAGCUCCUUGAUCCACCCUCGAUCACUCACUCCACCACCGCGGCCGCAGCGCGCGCGCACCGCGCAAACAACCAACUCGGCAGCGACAGCAAUGGCGGAUCGCGACCGCAGCGGCAUCUACGGCGGCACCUACGGGCAGCAUCAGCAGGGGGGCGGCCGCCCGAUGGGUGAGCAGGUGAAGGGCAUGAUCCAGGACAAGGGUCCCACGGCGUCGCAGGCGCUGACGGUGGCGACGCUGUUCCCGCUGGGCGGGCUGCUGCUGGUGCUGUCGGGCCUGGCGCUGGCGGCCUCCGUGGUGGGGCUGGCGCUGGCCACGCCCGUGUUCCUGCUCUUCAGCCCCGUGCUCGUCCCGGCCGCGCUGCUCAUCGGGACGGCCGUGACGGGGUUCCUCACGUCGGGCGCGCUGGGGCUCGGGGGACUCUCCUCGCUCACGUGCCUCGCCAACACGGCGCGGCAGGCGUUCCAGCGCACCCCGGA